AUUGAACGCUGGCGGCAUGCCUUACACAUGCAAGUCGAACGGCAGCGCGUCCUUCGGGAUGGCGGCGAGCGGCGAACGGGUGAGUAAUACAUCGGAACGUGCCCGAGAGUGGGGGAUAACGCAGCGAAAGCUGUGCUAAUACCGCAUACGAUCUCAGGAUGAGCCCGCGUAGGAUUAGGUAGUUGGUGGGGUAAAGGCCUACCAAGCCGACGAUCCUUAGCUGGUCUGAGAGGAUGAUCAGCCACACUGGGACUGAGACACGGCCCAGACUCCUACGGGAGGCAGCAGUGGGGAAUAUUGGACAAUGGGGGAAACCCUGAUCCAGCAAUGCCGCGUGAGUGAUGAAGGCCUUAGGGUCGUAAAGCUCUUUUACCAGGGAUGAUAAUGACAGUACCUGGAGAAUAAGCUCCGGCUAACUCCGUG
RNAcentral lists this ribosomal RNA (423 nucleotides) under uncultured bacterium. RNAcentral's name for it is "bacterial SSU rRNA". It matches the Rfam family "Bacterial small subunit ribosomal RNA", at positions 30 to 507 of the family's 1533-position model. The record is from RNAcentral.